Long non-coding RNA from Lolium perenne, 498 nucleotides. RefSeq lists it as uncharacterized. The record is from RefSeq and is a predicted model, not a curated record. NCBI's taxonomy places the organism in Eukaryota, Viridiplantae, Streptophyta, Magnoliopsida, Poales, Poaceae.
AGGACCCUUACCGGAUGCUGGCAUUCAGCGACCUAGAGGUUAUGGCAGCUCUUCAUGAUGGAGAGAAAUGGAGCUGGCCAAGAGAGAUAGCUCUGGUCGCUGGAUCCAGCCGGCCGGCACCUGUGAGUUUAGAUACGUUUUUGGUUGCUUCCUUCUGUGUUGUGCGGGAUCAGAUCGUGUGGGAGUGCAACCUAUACUUCCUUGCACUAAUAACAAUUAUGGUGAGAAACAUAGUGAGCAACCAACACUAUUUCGGUUAAGCUCAUCGUGUGUGGUGGUUUAGAUUAUAAUUUUAUUAGAAUAGGGUGAAUUGUGAAUUCCAGUAUAGCAUUUGCAUUAUUGUGCAUUGGCAACUUCUCUGUUUGCAUUAUUAUAUCCUAAUGAUAGGGCUCAAUGAAAUUCAAACUUUGAUAUGGUGUAAUUGUCUUUUAGUUGAGAUAUCAAGCUAUCUUCAUGUACAAUCCAGAGUGGCAGGCUGCUGCAUAGAACAUUACUACA